RNAcentral lists this non-coding RNA (28 nucleotides) under Homo sapiens (human). Lineage: Eukaryota; Metazoa; Chordata; Mammalia; Primates; Hominidae. The record is from RNAcentral.
AUGGGCUGUUUACGGAGCAAGUGCCGGC